ACUUAAUGUAAAUAAUUUGUGUAGGUAGUAAUUGAUAUAACAUGAAACUUAAAGGAUUUGGCGGUAAAUUAUUUAAUUAGAGGAAUUUGUGCUGUAAAUGAUAAUCCGCGUAAAUUUUUUCCUUAAUUUAGUUUACAUAUCGCUGUUUAUGAAAAUUUUAGAAAGAAUUUUAAUUUUCUUUAUUAAUUAUAUUAAUAAAAUCAAGUCUAGAUGUAGCGUAUAUUAAGGUAUGACAUGAGUUACAAUUAAUUUUUUAUUAAAACGGAUUUAAGAAACGAAAGUUUGUAAUGAAGGUGGAUUUAAUAGUAAAUUUUUAAUAAAAUGGAUUAUUGAAUUAAAUACUAAUUUA
RNAcentral lists this ribosomal RNA (349 nucleotides) under Rhopalorhynchus filipes. RNAcentral's name for it is "partial 12S ribosomal RNA". Lineage: Eukaryota; Metazoa; Arthropoda; Pycnogonida; Pantopoda; Colossendeidae. The record is from RNAcentral.